AGAGUGAACGCUGGCGGCAGGCCUAACACAUGCAAGUCGAGCGGCAGCGCGGGGCAACCCUGGCGGCGAGCGGCGGACGGUGAGGAAUACAUCGGAAUCUACCCUGUCGUGGGGAUAACGUAGGAACUUACGCUAAUACCGCAUACGACCGAGAGGUGAAAGCGGGGAUACGAAAGACCUCGCGCGAUUGGAUGAGCCGAUGUCGGAUUAGCUAGUUGGUAGAGGUAAGCUACACCGAAGGCGACGAUCCGUAGCUGGUCUGAGAGGAUGAUCAGCCACGACGUGGACUGACGACGACCGGCCCAGACCUCCGAGGGA
RNAcentral lists this ribosomal RNA (318 nucleotides) under uncultured soil bacterium. Its description in RNAcentral is "bacterial SSU rRNA". It matches the Rfam family "Bacterial small subunit ribosomal RNA", at positions 26 to 349 of the family's 1533-position model. The record is from RNAcentral.